UGUGACCUCAAAUCAGGUAGGACUACCCGCUGAACUUAAGCAUAUCAAUAAGCGGAGGAAAAGAAACUAACAAGGAUUCCCCUAGUAACUGCGAGUGAAGCGGGAAAAGCUCAAAUUUAAAAUCUGGCAGUCUUUGGCUGUCCGAGUUGUAAUCUAGAGAAGUGUUAUCCGCGCUG
RNAcentral lists this ribosomal RNA (176 nucleotides) under Cortinarius cruentiphyllus. Its description in RNAcentral is "partial 28S ribosomal RNA". It matches the Rfam family "Eukaryotic large subunit ribosomal RNA", at positions 1 to 172 of the family's 3401-position model. Lineage: Eukaryota; Fungi; Basidiomycota; Agaricomycetes; Agaricales; Cortinariaceae. The record is from RNAcentral.